Lolium rigidum is the source of this 445-nucleotide long non-coding RNA. RefSeq lists it as uncharacterized. The record is from RefSeq and is a predicted model, not a curated record. The transcript is spliced from 3 exons. Lineage: Eukaryota; Viridiplantae; Streptophyta; Magnoliopsida; Poales; Poaceae.
CCUUCUCUCACCACUUUGGGCAGUCAAUGAUCCAGUUGGGCUGUCAGUUGGUAUUCACAAGGACUUGGAUGAUUCAGUAAUGAGCAUUAGCAUGUAAGACCUCGUACGUUGUUCUGGUGGCGACCAUGGAAUUGGCUCGCUGUGAUUACAGCAUCCAUUGAACAAUUUGUAUGCGAAAUUUGUUGCAGGAGAGCAUAGUCCAACUCCAACAGUCACGCAUUUGCGACUUUAAAGUGUGCUUGCGCAAAUGGCACACGGUAACAGGGCGUGACAACCCCAUUUGCCAUUUGCUUGCCAGGAAGAAGUUGUGUUAAGCAAAUACCCUCGGUCAAGAUUCAGAAUCGGCACAAAGAAAGAAGCGAAUCUGGAAGCCUGGAUCAGCAAGCAAACACAGAGGAAUCCGCCACCUUGAGUGUCCGUGCGUCAGGUGCCCGUGGCCUCAUGA